RNAcentral lists this ribosomal RNA (468 nucleotides) under uncultured bacterium. RNAcentral describes it as "partial 16S ribosomal RNA". It matches the Rfam family "Bacterial small subunit ribosomal RNA", at positions 28 to 507 of the family's 1533-position model. The record is from RNAcentral.
GAUGAACGCUGGCGGCGUGCUUAACACAUGCAAGUCGAACGGAAAGGACCGGGUAUCGUGGGGUGCUCGAGUGGGGACCGGGCGCGUGACAGGAAAGUAUACCGAACUUGCCUUUGGGAGAACUUCAGGAAAUUGGGGCUAAUACCGGUUCGGCGCUGCUGCUGCAUGGGGGGGGUUGGGACGUUUGGGCGGUUGGGGAUUGACUCGGGGCUUAGCAGCUUGUUGGUGGGGUAGUGGCGUACCAGGGCUUUGACGGGUAGCCGGCCUGAGAGUGUGACCGGCCACAUUGGGACUGAGAUACGGCACAGACUCCUACGGGAGGCAGCAGUGGGGAAGAUUGCACAAUGGGCGGAAGCCUGAUGCAGCAAGGCCGCGUUCGGGAUUGCGGCCUUCGGUUAGUAAACCGCUUUGGCCUGUGACUAAGCGUGAGUGACGGUAACGGAUAAAGAAGCACCGGCUAACUACGUG